AGGACGAACGCUGGCGGCGUGCUUAACACAUGCAAGUCGAGCGAGGCCCUUCCUUCGGGAAGGUGCCCUAGCGGCGAACGGGUGAGUAACACGUGGGCAACCUGCCCCUAGCACUGGGAUAACUCCGGGAAACCGGGGCUAAUACCGGAUAUGACCUUUGAGGGCAUCCUCGAAGGUGUAAAGGAUUCUGGCUAGGGAUGGGCCUGCGGCCUAUCAGCUUGUUGGUGGGGUAACGGCCUACCAAGGCGACGACGGGUAGCCGGCCUGAGAGGGCGACCGGCCACACUGGGACUGAGACACGGCCCAGACUCCUACGGGAGGCAGCAGUGGGGAAUAUUGCACAAUGGGCGAAAGCCUGAUGCAGCGACGCCGCGUGAGGGAUGACGGCCUUCGGGUUGUAAACCUCUUUCAGCAGGACGAAGCGAAAGUGACGGUACCUGCAGAAGAAGCACCGGCCAACUACGUGCCAGCAGCCGC
This 477-nucleotide ribosomal RNA is filed under the name uncultured bacterium. RNAcentral describes it as "SSU rRNA". It matches the Rfam family "Bacterial small subunit ribosomal RNA", at positions 26 to 518 of the family's 1533-position model. The record is from RNAcentral.